This 528-nucleotide ribosomal RNA is filed under the name Bacillus subtilis. Its description in RNAcentral is "bacterial SSU rRNA". It matches the Rfam family "Bacterial small subunit ribosomal RNA", at positions 82 to 595 of the family's 1533-position model. Lineage: Bacteria; Bacillati; Bacillota; Bacilli; Caryophanales; Bacillaceae. The record is from RNAcentral.
CUCCCUGAUGUUAGCGGCGGACGGGUGAGUAACACGUGGGUAACCUGCCUGUAAGACUGGGAUAACUCCGGGAAACCGGGGCUAAUACCGGAUGGUUGUUUGAACCGCAUGGUUCAAACAUAAAAGGUGGCUUCGGCUACCACUUACAGAUGGACCCGCGGCGCAUUAGCUAGUUGGUGAGGUAACGGCUCACCAAGGCAACGAUGCGUAGCCGACCUGAGAGGGUGAUCGGCCACACUGGGACUGAGACACGGCCCAGACUCCUACGGGAGGCAGCAGUAGGGAAUCUUCCGCAAUGGACGAAAGUCUGACGGAGCAACGCCGCGUGAGUGAUGAAGGUUUUCGGAUCGUAAAGCUCUGUUGUUAGGGAAGAACAAGUACCGUUCGAAUAGGGCGGUACCUUGACGGUACCUAACCAGAAAGCCACGGCUAACUACGUGCCAGCAGCCGCGGUAAUACGUAGGUGGCAAGCGUUGUCCGGAAUUAUUGGGCGUAAAGGGCUCGCAGGCGGUUUCUUAAGUCUGAUGU